GGUUCCGAGGUGCGGUAAGCAUAUUGAAUUGCAAAUUCAAAGGAGCAGCUUCAAUUCUGCCGGGGCCU
This 68-nucleotide transfer RNA is filed under the name Echinosorex gymnura. Its description in RNAcentral is "tRNA-Cys". It matches the Rfam family "tRNA". Rfam says of the family: Transfer RNA (tRNA) molecules are approximately 80 nucleotides in length. Lineage: Eukaryota; Metazoa; Chordata; Mammalia; Eulipotyphla; Erinaceidae. The record is from RNAcentral.